This 442-nucleotide ribosomal RNA is filed under the name uncultured bacterium. RNAcentral describes it as "partial 16S ribosomal RNA". It matches the Rfam family "Bacterial small subunit ribosomal RNA", at positions 338 to 795 of the family's 1533-position model. The record is from RNAcentral.
CCUACGGGUGACUGCAGUGGGGAAUAUUGGGCAAUGGGCGCAAGCCUGACCCAGCAACGCCGCGUGAAGGAAGAAGGCUUUCGGGUUGUAAACUUCUUUUGUCAGGGAAGAGUAGAAGACGGUACCUGACGAAUAAGCCACGGCUAACUACGUGCCAGCAGCCGCGGUAAUACGUAGGUGGCAAGCGUUGUCCGGACUUACUGGGUGUAAAGGGCGUGUAGCCGGGUUGACAAGUCAGAUGUGAAAUCCUGCGGCUUAACCGCAGAACUGCAUUUGAAACUGUUGAUCUUGAGUACUGGAGAGGCAGAUGGAAUUCCUGGUGUAGCGGUAAAAUGCGUAGAUAUUAGGAGGAAUACCAGUGGCGAAGGCGGUCUGCUGGACAGCAACUGACGGUGAGGCGCGAAAGCGUGGGGAGCAAACAGGAUUAGAUACCCGUGUAGUC